Molecule: ribosomal RNA, 460 nt
Filed under: uncultured bacterium
Lineage: Bacteria
Description: partial 16S ribosomal RNA
Rfam family: Bacterial small subunit ribosomal RNA
Source: RNAcentral
CCUACGGGAGGCAGCAGUGAGGAAUAUUGGUCAAUGGGCGAGAGCCUGAACCAGCCAAGUCGCGUGAAGGAUGACUGCCCUAUGGGUUGUAAACUUCUUUUAUAUGGGAAUAAAACAGGGUAUGUAUACCCUCUUGUAUGUACCAUAUGAAUAAGGAUCGGCUAACUCCGUGCCAGCAGCCGCGGUAAUACGGAGGGUCCGAGCGUUAUCCGGAUUUAUUUGGGUUAAAGGGAGCGUAGGUGGAUUGUUAAGUCAGUUGUGAAAGUUUGCGGCUCAACCGUAAAAUUGCAGUUGAAACUGGCAGUCUUGAGUACAGGAGAGGUGGGCGGAAUUCGUGGUGUAGCGGUGAAAUGCUUAGAUAUCACGAAGAACUCCGAUUGCGAAGGCAGCUCACUGGACUGCAACUGACACUGAUGCUCGAAAGUGUGGGUAUCAAACAGGAUUAGAUACCCCUGUAGUC